Molecule: long non-coding RNA, 214 nt
Filed under: Elaeis guineensis (African oil palm)
Lineage: Eukaryota; Viridiplantae; Streptophyta; Magnoliopsida; Arecales; Arecaceae
Description: long non-coding RNA (EGUI_LNC066301)
Source: RNAcentral
AAUUUGAUCUAACCUUUAGAUCGUAUUGGUUGAGUUAAGAUCCAAUCAUUUUUUCAUGGGUCGAUGAUCUACACUACUGGUAGGCAUGGUAUGAAGCUCUCGCUGAUGUCGAACAGCUGCACAGGUCAUCCGAUCUCUACAGAUCAUCCACUCGAAGCCCUGAUUGGAUCUUCCUUUAUAGGAGUGCUAGCUCGCAUCGAAGGCUCUGGAUGGC